Molecule: ribosomal RNA, 855 nt
Filed under: uncultured Actinomycetes bacterium
Lineage: Bacteria; Bacillati; Actinomycetota; Actinomycetes
Description: bacterial SSU rRNA
Rfam family: Bacterial small subunit ribosomal RNA
Source: RNAcentral
CGAUACGGGCAGACUGGAGUACUCCAGGGGAGACUGGAAUUCCCUGGUGAAGCGGUGGAAAUGCGCCAGAUAUCAGGAGGAACACCGGUGGCGAAAGGCGGGUCUCUGGGCAGUAACCUGACGCUGAGGAGCGAAAGCGUGGGGAGCGAACAGGAUUAGAUACCCUGGUAGUCCCACGCCGUAAACCGGUGGGUACUAGGUGUGGGUUUCCUUCCUUGGGAUCCGUGCCGUAGCUAACGCAUUAAGUACCCCGCCUGGGGAGUACGGCCGCAAGGCUAAAACUCAAAGGAAUUGACGGGGGCCCGCACAAGCGGCGGAGCAUGUGGAUUAAUUCGAUGCAACGCGAAGAACCUUACCUGGGUUUGACAUGCACAGGACGUCGGCAGAGAUGUCGGUUCCCUUGUGGCCUGUGUGCAGGUGGUGCAUGGCUGUCGUCAGCUCGUGUCGUGAGAUGUUGGGUUAAGUCCCGCAACGAGCGCAACCCUUGUCUCAUGUUGCCAGCACGUUAUGGUGGGGACUCGUGAGAGACUGCCGGGGUCAACUCGGAGGAAGGUGGGGAUGACGUCAAGUCAUCAUGCCCCUUAUGUCCAGGGCUUCACACAUGCUACAAUGGCCGGUACAAAGGGCUGCGAUGCCGUGAGGUGGAGCGAAUCCUUUCAAAGCCGGUCUCAGUUCGGAUCGGGGUCUGCAACUCGACCCCGUGAAGUCGGAGUCGCUAGUAAUCGCAGAUCAGCAACGCUGCGGUGAAUACGUUCCCGGGCCUUGUACACACCGCCCGUCACGUCAUGAAAGUCGGUAACACCCGAAGCCGGUGGCCUAACCCGUAAGGGAGGGAGCCGUCGAAGGUGGGGCUGG